Molecule: unclassified non-coding RNA, 200 nt
Filed under: Sebacina sp.
Lineage: Eukaryota; Fungi; Basidiomycota; Agaricomycetes; Sebacinales; Sebacinaceae
Description: partial internal transcribed spacer 2
Source: RNAcentral
UUAAGUUCAGCGGGUAGUCUUACUCGAUUUGAGGUCAAGUCGUCAGAGAUUGUCCGAAGACGGUUUGGAGCACAACAUCCCGAUCGGCCACCCUCUUUGCGAGGCACCGGCGAAAAACACUUAUCACGCCGUACUAUGUCCAACCAAGAGCUGCACUAACAUAUUUGAGGUGAGCCACGGUGAAGCAGCAAACCCAAGUC